AUAUUUUAUAUUAAAUUUUAAUAAUUUGACAGUUAAAUUAAAAUUUUUUAUGUAAAUAUCAAGUCUACAAAUUUUAAAAUAAUUAAAAAUUUGCUUUACAAAUUCA
Molecule: microRNA precursor, 106 nt
Filed under: Cajanus cajan (pigeon pea)
Lineage: Eukaryota; Viridiplantae; Streptophyta; Magnoliopsida; Fabales; Fabaceae
Description: miRNA gene-KK1_047072
Source: RNAcentral